ACGGGAAAGUGACGCGUAGGUAACCUGCCCGGCGGCGGGGGGGGGGAUAGUAUACGAGGCUGCUCAAAUACCCAGAAUAUGUGCUUGUGAUUUGCUAAAAAGGGGCGGUUGCUUCUCUACCACAUGGACAUGGGUGGUAUUGCCUGUUUGUAGUUGGUUGGUUUCGGAGGGCCACGAUACAUGACCAACAUGAGACUGAGUCGCUGACACGGGGACUGGGACCCGGUGCACACCCCCACGGCCCGCAACGGUAGGGAAUAUUCCGUCAUGGUUGGAAGAGUGAGGUCCGACCGAGCCUCCCCCGGAAGAGAUUCUGCUAGUUUUGCUCUGUGGUGCUAUGGUAAAGGGGCGCUAGUGUAUAGUUUUAGAGUUCACCUACCUGACCAGACAGCCACGGAUAAGACGGGGCAACCACCGGCGGAAAUACGGGGGGCCAGAGCGUCCCCAAUACUUGUGCGGAGUGAUUGUAUGGCAGGCGAUCAGAGAGGCCUGAAAUUAAAUGAUUUGCCUUGUCAUUGGAUGGGCUCUGCUGACUGUUUGGAUUGAGAGUAAGAUGAGUGAGAAUGUUCAGUGAGAUGCGUAUGUGUUGCGUAGAUAUAUGGAGAAAAACCGACUGUCGAGAACGGCUCUCACUGUCGCGUCUCACUCUUGGGACUCGAGAGCGUGGGGCGCAAACAGUGAUGAUCC
Molecule: ribosomal RNA, 687 nt
Filed under: uncultured bacterium
Lineage: Bacteria
Description: partial 16S ribosomal RNA
Source: RNAcentral